UUCAGACCUUUCAGAGACACUGAACACACCAGCAGCACAAUGAUGAUGUCACUGACUCUACUGCUGACCACCCUGGGGCUCCUUGUUCAGGGUUCAUCAGGUGAAAUCAUCCUGACUCAGACUCCUCGGUCUCAGUCUGUUGCUCCAGGACAAACUGUGUCUCUCAGAUGUAAAGCCAGUUCAAGUGUUAGCUAUGAUUUGCAGUGGUAUCUUCAAAAACCUGGAGAACCUCCUAAGCUCCUAAUCUAUAAUGCCAAUUCACGUUGGUCAGGAGUUUCUGAUCGUUUCAGUGGAAGUCAGUCUGGCACUGACUUCACUCUGACCAUCAGUAGAGUUCAGGCUGAAGAUGCAGGAGUUUAUUACUGUCAGCAGGAUAGCAGCAGACCGUUCACACAGUGAUUCAACGUCGUACAAAAACCUCCCUCAGCUGGAGAGGAACUGAUCCACAGCUGCACAGAGCUGAAGGGUUCAACUACAGAAACCAUUUUAUGAAACACAAC
This is a non-coding RNA of Melanotaenia boesemani (Boeseman's rainbowfish), 500 nucleotides long. The record is from the annotation of a RefSeq genome assembly. Lineage: Eukaryota; Metazoa; Chordata; Actinopteri; Atheriniformes; Melanotaeniidae.